CAGCAGCGUUCGAGUUGUUGCGAAUUGCAAUUGCAGAACGGAAUUCCAUUCCAGAACCAUCCUUCGCUCGCCCCCGCCGCCGCGCUGCCGCGGCCAUAUACGGCGAAAGCCCUAUUCGUGCCCGCGGCCGUGGAUAGAUAGGUCAGUGACGAUUGAGAAACCCGUAGUCGGAGCAGAGGAGGGGUAGAGGAUGGUGUUCGGUCAGGUGGUGAUCGGCCCGCCGGGCUCCGGCAAGACCACCUACUGCAACGGCAUGUCGCAGUUCCUCUCCCUCCUCGGCAGGAAAGUUGCGGUUGUCAAUUUGGACCCUGCAAAUGACGCAUUGCCAUAUGAGUGUGCCAUAAACAUCGAGGACCUCAUAAAACUCAGUGAUGUCAUGUCUGAGCAUUCGCUUGGCCCUAAUGGAGGGCUUGUGUAUUGCAUGGAUUACUUGGAGAAGAAUAUUGAUUGGCUUGAAGAAAAACUGAAGCCUUUUAUUGAAGAUCACUAUCUGUUAUUUGAUUUUCCUGGUCAAGUGGAAUUGUUCUUCCUUCACUCAAAUGCCAGAAGUGUUAUUAAUAAACUCAUCAAAAAGAUGGACUUGAGGCUUACUGCUGUUCACCUUAUUGAUGCCCAUUUAUGCUGUGAUCCUGGAAAGUAUGUCAGUGCUUUGCUUCUUUCACUAUCAACGAUGCUACACUUGGAAUUGCCACAUAUCAAUGUCUUGUCAAAGAUUGACCUCAUUGAGAACUAUGGAAAUUUAGCAUUCAACCUUGACUUCUACACUGAUGUCCAAGAUCUUUCUUAUUUGCAAUAUCAUCUUGAGCAGGAUCCCCGCUCAGCCAAGUACAGGAAACUGACUAAGGAGCUCUGUGAUGUGAUUGAUGAUUUUGGUUUAGUCAAUUUUUCAACUUUGGACAUCCAGGACAAGGAAAGUGUUGGCAAUCUUGUGAAGCUGAUUGACAAGAGCAACGGAUAUAUAUUUUCUUCUAUUGACAGUAGUGCUGUUGAGUUCAGCAAAAUUGCAGCGGCGCCUCUUGAUUGGGACUACUACAGAUAUCCUAUACUUGUUCUUUAAUAAUUUUUGCGAAGAAGUCUUUUGCCGCCUGUAAUUUUUAUGUUAUCUUCAAUGUCCCAGAUGCACACUAUCAAACCACUUGCAUUCACAGCAAGCAUGUGGUGAAUAGAUCGCAAGCCAAACCACGCGAAAUUGCAGCCAAGUAUGUUGUUUUAUCACCAGCUUACUAUUGCUAAGUCGAGUUGUGAAAUCUGGAGUAAUAUUUCUCUGUUACGUAUGUGGUAUGCCUUAGAAUAUAUGCUGUUGCACCAAUAUCUUGCAAAUUGUCUUUCUUUCCUUGACGUGUGGAUACAACAGCGGAAGUGCAGGAGAAGUACAUGAAAGAUGAUGAGUUUGCGCAACUGACAAGCAGGAUGCAAUGAGGCUGGCGGUGCCGUCCCGCACCCCCACUUUGGUAGCACUACGGGUGAACCACGACAGUGUGGCACGUUGAACUUCGGUUGCCAGAACGAUGUGAAACCUGUCUAAAUUCAUGUAGCUCAGUUGUAGGUGUUUACUGAAGCUGAUUGCUGUAGUUGCCUGAUCUUCUGGGAGUACCCUUUGGGCAGUAAAAAAAUGCACUUGUCACCGGUGACCAACCGGUCAUGUCCUGUUUUGUUUGUUCGCUUCAACCUAACUGUUCGACUGCUUGUUUGAACUGCUGCAGCUAUAAUCUUUAGAGACAAAACAUUGUA
RNA transcript from Zea mays, 1731 nucleotides. RefSeq lists it as uncharacterized. The transcript has 10 exons. The record is from RefSeq and is marked provisional. NCBI's taxonomy places the organism in Eukaryota, Viridiplantae, Streptophyta, Magnoliopsida, Poales, Poaceae.